CCAUGCCUAGGCGGGGAACUAGCGGUGCCCUGUACCGGAAAUCCGCUUUAGCCGGGCUGAGUUAUCUUUUUGAGGAUAUAUUUUUAGUUAACCAGAAUAAUUUCAAAAGCGUUGAAGGUUGGGUCUGGUGCACUCCUGUUCCUCAAACCCCGUCAGGUCCGGAAGGAAGCAGCGGUAAGAGGGUUUGCAGCGAGGUGUUGCCAGGACGCCUGACUGGAGCAGAUGGAUUAUUAUGGCCUGAAGAUAUAUUCAAGAAAAGAUGGUAUGG
This 268-nucleotide signal recognition particle RNA is filed under the name bacterium. RNAcentral describes it as "signal recognition particle sRNA large type". It matches the Rfam family "Bacterial large signal recognition particle RNA". From Rfam's summary of the family: The signal recognition particle (SRP) is a universally conserved ribonucleoprotein involved in the co-translational targeting of proteins to membranes. Archaeal SRP consists of a 7S RNA and homologues of the eukaryotic SRP19 and SRP54 proteins. The record is from RNAcentral.